AUACGUAGGUGGCAAGCGUUGUCCGGAAUUAUUGGGCGUAAAGCGCAUGUAGGCGCUUUGGUAAGUCGGUCGUGAAAAUGCGGUGCUUAACGCCGUAUGGCGAUUGAAACUGCUGAACUUGAGUGCAGGAGAGGAAAGGGGAACUCCCAGUGUAGCGGUGAAAUGCGUAGAUAUUGGGAAGAACACCGGUGGCGAAGGCGCCUUUCUGGACUGUGUCUGACGCUCAGAUGCGAAAGCCAGGGUAGCGAACGGGAUUAGAUACCCCGGUAGUCCUGGCCGUAAACGAUGGGUACUAGGUGUGGGAGGUAUCGACUCCUUCCGUGCCGGAGUUAACGCAAUAAGUACCCCGCCUGGGGAGUACGGCCGCAAGGCUUAAACUCAAAUGAAUUGACGGGG
Molecule: ribosomal RNA, 396 nt
Filed under: uncultured bacterium
Lineage: Bacteria
Description: partial 16S ribosomal RNA
Rfam family: Bacterial small subunit ribosomal RNA
Source: RNAcentral